GUUUCCGUAGCUCAGAUGGAUAGAGCGACCGCCUCCUAAGCGGUAGGCCAGCGGUUCGAAUCCGCUCGGGAACACCA
This 77-nucleotide transfer RNA is filed under the name Oscillospiraceae bacterium. RNAcentral's name for it is "tRNA-Arg". It matches the Rfam family "tRNA". From Rfam's summary of the family: Transfer RNA (tRNA) molecules are approximately 80 nucleotides in length. Their secondary structure includes four short double-helical elements and three loops (D, anti-codon, and T loops). Lineage: Bacteria; Bacillati; Bacillota; Clostridia; Eubacteriales; Oscillospiraceae. The record is from RNAcentral.